Molecule: ribosomal RNA, 451 nt
Filed under: uncultured bacterium
Lineage: Bacteria
Description: partial 16S ribosomal RNA
Rfam family: Bacterial small subunit ribosomal RNA
Source: RNAcentral
GUGGGGAAUAUUGGACAAUGGGGGGAACCCUGAUCCAGCCAUGCCGCGUGUGUGAAGAAGGCCUUUUGGUUGUAAAGCACUUUAAGCGAGGAGGAGGCUACCGAGAUUAAUACUCUUGGAUAGUGGACGUUACUCGCAGAAUAAGCACCGGCUAACUCUGUGCCAGCAGCCGCGGUAAUACAGAGGGUGCAAGCGUUAAUCGGAUUUACUGGGCGUAAAGCGCGCGUAGGUGGUCAAUUAAGUCAAAUGUGAAAUCCCCGAGCUUAACUUGGGAAUUGCAUUCGAUACUGGUUGGCUAGAGUAUGGGAGAGGAUGGUAGAAUUCCAGGUGUAGCGGUGAAAUGCGUAGAGAUCUGGAGGAAUACCGAUGGCGAAGGCAGCCAUCUGGCCUAAUACUGACACUGAGGUGCGAAAGCAUGGGGAGCAAACAGGAUUAGAUACCCCUGUAGUCC